AACAAAAGUUGCAGGCUCGACAAAAAUCAUGAUUCUUGAAACACUAUACACAAAAAUAAUGAUUCUUGAAACACUAUACACAAAAAUAAUGAUUCUUGAAACACUAUACACAAAAAUAAUGAUUCUUGAAACACUAUACACAAAAAUCAAGAUUCUUUGCACAUUUAAAAUAAAAGUCUAUGGUUCUUCAACCACUACAAGUAUCAUAUUUGGUUGAUUUGUAUUAUUAAAUGUUCAAUUUUUACUUUUUCAUGAACUGUAAAAAAGAUUGAAUUACAGGUAUACACAUAUAUGAAACGUGUACACUAAAACAUGUACCUUAAUCAAGGCGAUAUGUCUGCUUUGUAAGUAAAACAAGAGAUAUUCCAUCUACUUGAAAAGGCAAUUAAAUGACUGCAACACGGCUACAUGUGAAUGGUUACUAAGAGUUAUUGGAUAAAUAAGACAGCAGCCCAAAAGAAAGAUUUCCCAAAAUAAUUUCAAGAGAUCAUCAUACUCUGUGACUAAAAGACUGAAUGGCUAUAGCUAUAAGACAAGGGAACAAUCUUAAGGUCUGCAGUAUUUAUAGAUCAUACAAAGUCAUUUAUAGGGGAAAUGGGCAUCCUUUACUAUGUGUAACUUGAAGGAAAAUAUACUAACCACACUGUAUACCAUAAUAUCAAUGGAGUUUCAUGAGUACAUUGUCUGUAUUGGAACUUAUCAGAAGUAAACACAUUAAUUGUUGACUGUGAUGUUGAUGGUUAAAAAAGAACUACCAAUAUCGUCUUUCUGCAACAACAUAAGCAACAUUGUUGAAAUUGUGACAAAAAUAGCUGGCCACAAAACAUGUUAAAAUAUCUUGAAGAGCAUUUCAUUUUCAUCCUUUGAUGCUAAAUUUGACAUCCAUAAAAAACACCAAAAAUAGACUACAAUAGGCAUUGAUUCCAUUUAAUAGAAUAUAAUUGCCACAUUUAAAAUUCUUAAAAGAACUUUUUUAGAAUCCAAUAUGAUUAUAUUACAAAAAUGAACAAAUAUUCUUCAAAUAUCUAUGGCACAUGAUGAAAGUUUUAUACAAUGACACUUAUGGAUGGCUUUAUCCGAUUUAUUGCUUAUAUUAAACCUGUAUCAAAAACAAGCUAAAACAUUAUUAAUUUAUCAUUUAAAUUUCAAAACUAAGUUUUGCGUUAUAAAUGAUAACUUAAGAGCAACUCUGAAAAAUUUCACACAAACACAUGACAAAUUAUGUUUUUCUACCAAGGGUCAUGGUUUCUGGUUGCGUUUUUUCCUUCAAUGAUAAGGAAUCCUAUAAAUCUCUUAUUUCAGGUUUUUCUCACACUCUAGAACUGGUAACCAUGCCAUACUCAUUCAAAUUUACUGCUUAUAUAAAGUAUUGUCAAAACUAAGGGUUUUUCACCAUGCUAUAUAAAAUUGUGAUUAAUGAAUUAUAAAUAAAUGUUGAAAAAAUUAAAAUACGAAAAUAAAUAAAUUUCAAAUCUUUGGUAAUUUGACAUUAAAAUAGAAAUUUUACACUGAUU
This 1514-nucleotide long non-coding RNA is filed under the name Mytilus galloprovincialis (Mediterranean mussel). Lineage: Eukaryota; Metazoa; Mollusca; Bivalvia; Mytilida; Mytilidae. The record is from RNAcentral.